RNAcentral lists this ribosomal RNA (468 nucleotides) under uncultured bacterium. Its description in RNAcentral is "partial 16S ribosomal RNA". It matches the Rfam family "Bacterial small subunit ribosomal RNA", at positions 28 to 507 of the family's 1533-position model. The record is from RNAcentral.
GACGAACGCUGGCGGCGUGCCUAAUACAUGCAAGUCGAACGGAAAGGCUCCGGUUUGGUAGUGUGCACGAGUGGCGAACGGGUGAGUAACACGUGAGUAACCUGCCCUCGACUCCGGGAUAACUUUGGGAAACUGGGGUUAAUACCGCAUAGGAGCUCCUGCUGCAUGGCGGUGGUUGGAAAGCUUCGGCGGCUGGGGAUGGACUGGGGGCUAAUCAGCUUGCUGGCGGGGUAGUGGAUUCCCAAGGCUUUGACGGGUAGCCGGCCUGGGAGGGUGACCGGACCCAUUGGGACUGGGAUGCGGCCCGGACUCGUACGGGAGGGAAGGGUGGAGAAUAGAGCACACGGCGCGGGGGGCUGGCGCAGCAGCGCCGCGUCGGGGAUGACGGGAUUCGGGUUGUAAUGCGCUUUGGCCUGGGACGAAGAGAGAGUGACGGUAACGGGUAAAGAAGCACCGGCUAACUACGUG